Molecule: ribosomal RNA, 239 nt
Filed under: uncultured bacterium
Lineage: Bacteria
Description: partial 16S ribosomal RNA
Rfam family: Bacterial small subunit ribosomal RNA
Source: RNAcentral
UGGAGCAGAUCUCAAAAAAGACGGUCCCAGUUCGGAUUGUGGGCUGCAACCCGCCCACAUGAAGUCGGAGUUGCUAGUAAUCGUGGAUCAGCAUGCCGCGGUGAAUGCGUUCCCGGGCCUUGUACACACCGCCCGUCACACCAUGAGAGUCGAUAACACCCGAAGCCUGUAGUCUAACAGCAAUGAGGACGCAGUCGAAGGUGGGAUUGAUAAUUAGGGUGAAGUCGUAACAAGGUACC